RNAcentral lists this transfer RNA (73 nucleotides) under Spirochaetales bacterium. RNAcentral describes it as "tRNA-His". It matches the Rfam family "tRNA". Rfam says of the family: Transfer RNA (tRNA) molecules are approximately 80 nucleotides in length. Their secondary structure includes four short double-helical elements and three loops (D, anti-codon, and T loops). Further hydrogen bonds mediate the characteristic L-shaped molecular structure. tRNAs have two regions of fundamental functional importance: the anti-codon, which is responsible for specific mRNA codon recognition, and the 3' end, to which the tRNAs corresponding amino acid is attached (by aminoacyl-tRNA synthetases). tRNAs cope with the degeneracy of the genetic code in two manners: having more than one tRNA (with a specific anti-codon) for a particular amino acid; and 'wobble' base-pairing, i.e. permitting non-standard base-pairing at the 3rd anti-codon position. Lineage: Bacteria; Pseudomonadati; Spirochaetota; Spirochaetia; Spirochaetales. The record is from RNAcentral. RNAcentral also lists the same sequence under 1 other name.
GUGGGUGUAGCUCAGCAGGUAGAGCACCAGACUGUGGAUCUGGGUGUCGCGGGUUCAAGACCCGUCACCCACC